RNAcentral lists this ribosomal RNA (590 nucleotides) under uncultured bacterium. RNAcentral describes it as "partial 16S ribosomal RNA". It matches the Rfam family "Bacterial small subunit ribosomal RNA", at positions 355 to 1375 of the family's 1533-position model. The record is from RNAcentral.
UGGAGAAUUUUGGACAAUGGGCGAAAGCCUGAUCCAGCAAUGCCGCGUGUGUGAAGAAGGCCUUCGGGUUGUAAAGCACUUUUGUCCGGAAAGAAAUCCUUGGCUCUAAUACAGUCGGGGGAUGACGGUACCGGAAGAAUAAGCACCGGCUAACUACGUGCCAGCAGCCGCGGUAAUACGUAGGGUGCAAGCGUUAAUCGGAAUUACUGGGCGUAAAGCGUGCGCAGGCGGUUUGCUAAGACCGAUGUGAAAUCCCCGGGCUCAACCUGGGAACUGCAUUGGUGACUGGCAGGCUAGAGUAUGGCAGAGGGGGGUAGAAUUCCACGUGUAGCAGUGAAAAUGCGUAGAGAUGUGGAGGAAUACCGAUGGCGAAGGCAGCCCCCUGGGCCAAUACUGACGCUCAUGCACGAAAAGCGUGGGGAGCAAAACAGGAUUAGAUACCCUGGUAGUCCACGCCCUAAAACGAUGUCAACUAGUUGUUGGGGAUUCAUUUCCUUAGUAACGUAGCUAACGCGUGAAGUUGACCGCCUGGGGAGUACGGUCGCAAGAUUAAAAACUUAAAUGAAUUGACGGGGUCAUAGCUGUUUCCU